AAUCAAUGAGCUUGAAUAAGCAUAUAUUUUGAAAAUAUAAGAUAACUAAUAUGUUAUUGAUUU
RNAcentral lists this transfer RNA (63 nucleotides) under Bostrichoidea sp. 5 KM-2017. RNAcentral describes it as "tRNA-Ser". The record is from RNAcentral. Lineage: Eukaryota; Metazoa; Arthropoda; Insecta; Coleoptera.